CUAAGACAUGCGAGUCGAGCGUCUCUAGCUAUGUUGAGACGCGGCAGACGGCUCAGUAACACGUGGCUAACCUACCCUCAGGACAAGUACAAACCCGGGAAACUGGGGCUAAUACUCGAUAGGCGAAGGCGCCUGGAAUGGUUCUUCACCCGAAGGGCUUUAGAAACAUGCUUCUAGAGUCGCCUGGGGAUGGGGCCGCGUCCGAUCAGGUUGUUGGUGAGGUAACGGCUCACCAAGCCUAUAACCGGUACGGGCCGUGAGAGCGGUAGCCCGGAGAUGGGUACUGAGACAAGGACCCAGGCCCUACGGGGCGCAGCAGUCGCGAAAACUCCGCAAUGCACGAAAGUGUGACGGGGCUACCCCGAGUGCCGUCCGCUGAGGAUGGCUUUUCCUUGGUGUAACUAGCCGGGGGAAUAAGGAGAGGGCAAGACUGGUGUCAGCCGCCGCGGUAA
Molecule: ribosomal RNA, 452 nt
Filed under: uncultured archaeon
Lineage: Archaea
Description: bacterial SSU rRNA
Rfam family: Archaeal small subunit ribosomal RNA
Source: RNAcentral